Molecule: ribosomal RNA, 511 nt
Filed under: uncultured bacterium
Lineage: Bacteria
Description: bacterial SSU rRNA
Rfam family: Bacterial small subunit ribosomal RNA
Source: RNAcentral
AGAGUUUGAUCCUGGCUCAGGAUGAACGCUGGCGGCGUGCCUAAUACAUGCAAGUGAAACGGGUAUCUUCGGAUACCAGUCGCGGACGGGUGAGUAAUACAUAGGCAACCUGCCUUUAUGAGGGGGAUAACCGAGGGAAACUUUGGCUAAUACCGCAUGAAGACUCUAAGGCAUCUUAGAGGGAUAAAAGUUGGGAAACAACGCAUGAAGAUGGGCUUAUGGCGCAUUAGCUAGUUGGUGAGAUAGAAGCCCACCAAGGUAAUGAUGCGUAGCCGACCUGAGAGGGUGAACGGCCACAUUGGGACUGAGACACGGCCCAAACUCCUACGGGAGGCAGCAGUAGGGAAUUUUCGGCAAUGGGGGGAACCCUGACCGAGCAACGCCGCGUGAAGGAAGAAGGUUUUCGGAUUGUAAACUUCUGUUAUAAGGGAAGAACGGAUUGGAUAGGGAAUGAUCUGAUAGUGACGGUACCUUAUUAGAAAGCCACGGCUAACUACGUGCCAGCCGCCGC